Long non-coding RNA from Physeter macrocephalus (sperm whale), 471 nucleotides. RefSeq lists it as uncharacterized. NCBI's taxonomy places the organism in Eukaryota, Metazoa, Chordata, Mammalia, Artiodactyla, Physeteridae. The record is from RefSeq and is a predicted model, not a curated record. The transcript has 3 exons.
AGAAGAGAGGGGGAAGCACAGGGGUCAAAAGUGAGUUGUUUUCCAGGCAGAGGAGGAAGAUCAAGAAGGCAGGAGCUAACUCCUUCCGGCAUGAUGGAUUCCUGGGAUCCCAGAACAGCUGGGCUGGAAGGGACCUCGAAAAAGGAACUACCAACACGUGCCCCGUGUCAGUCCCUGAGCUGGGCGUUUUCGUGAACAUUGUCUUAACACUCCUAACGCUGCUUCGAGAGCCUUCCCCCGAAAGACGAAGUCCUCGCCACACGGGGAGGCGGAUAUUAUAUACUCCUGGAUCGCCCGGACGUCUUUCGCCCUCACCCGCACUGAUCCCCACUGGUGACAUAAAUUCUCCCCCGCUACUAGCGAGUGAAGGCACGAGACUACAUUUCCCGGCAGGUCGUUCAGAAGGGGGUGGCGGGGAGAGAAGGAAAGAGACCCUCUGUUUCCGUCCGCUCUCAAUUUAGCGUGUCUGCC